AUGGCGCACAUAACAACCAUCUUGGGGGUGCUGAUGGCGGCUGCAGCAGCGGCGAUGCUGAUAUCGCCGCUCCUUGCUGGAGCAGAAGUUUAUCCGGCGGAGGUGCAAGGGAUGCCCGACUGCGACAUCACCUGUGGCAACAUAAGUGUGCCGUACCCGUUCGGCAUGGGUCCGGCUAGGUGCUACUGGCCGGGGUUCAACCUCACCUGCAACCACACAAGCAACCCGCCGUGGUUGCUGCUCGGCGACGGCACCCUCCAAGUCAAAGAAUUUUCCCUCACUAACUGGUCGACAUUUGUGGCCGUCAUACGCACGGGCGACAUAAAAGUCAAUGGCAAUGGUGAAGGCACACUCGGCGGUGGUCUUACCACCAACGGGCCCUACACGAUUUCAUCCAACAAGCUCAUCCUGCUGGGCUGCAAUGUUCAGGCGACACUCAAGAACAGUGAUGUGAUCGUGAGCAGCUGUUCUUCUUUCUGCAAAAACGGUGAUAGACUCUCCCAUGUGCGAUCCACACUCGAAGAAGGCAUGCAAUGCUCUGGCAGUGGCUGCUGCCAGUCGGACAUUGUCUUCGACCCUGCGGACGUAGUAGGAAGGCUUGCCAGCAGCACGUCCUACGACGUGCAGCUCAAAUGGUUCGGCUGGAACCGCAGCGCGGACCACCAGUGGCCGGCAUACGUCUUCAUUGCGAGGUAUGAUUGGUUCAGCCAUACACCGGUCUUAGAGGAGCUAUUUCGAACAGAUGCCCCUGUGUCAGCGGAUGCAAUACAACUUCCCCUGUUGCUGGAUUGGGAGGUUGUUGGCCAUGGCGCAGAGUGCUCCAACGUCUGCAAGAGCAGGCACAGUGACUGCAUAAAGGGUAAGAGAGGCUACAUAUGCUUAUGCAAUGAUGGCUACCAAGGGAAUCCCUACAUCACCAAUGGAUGCAAAGAUAUCGACGAGUGCAAUGAACAGUACCCUAAAACGUGCUAUGGUGAUUGUACCAAUUCGGAUGGAUCACAUGACUGCCGCUGUCCGCCUGGAACCCAUGGCGACCCUACGAUGCCUGAUGCCUGCUUCAUCAAUUUCGUCCCAGGUAACUGCAGCACAUCCUGCGGUGACAUAAACGUGCCAUACCCCUUCGGAAUUGGCUCUGCCGGUUGCUACUGGCCAGGGUUCAACCUCGCCUGUAAUACAAGCCAACGGCCAGCAAAGCUACUCCUCGUCCUCCAUGAGUACCCCUUCCACGUCACGGAGAUCUCCCUCCAGAACAACACGAUGCGCCUCAGCACCUACUCCAUCAUGCAUAUAGACCCCAGCGAUUCACCUGGUAAUUUUACGUUUUUCAAUUUCUCUGGGACGCCCUACUCACUAUCGACCGGCAACGAGUUCAUCCUGUCGGGCUGCAACCUUCAGGCGACGCUGACUGGGGGUGGCCCUGAGGUUUUCAUCAGUGGUUGUGCCUCCUUCUGCCCCUCCAAUAUAAGUGGCACCGAUGUGGAGACGGCACUGCAGCGUAGAGGAAGAUACUGCAAUGGGAUGGGCUGCUGUCAGGCGAAUAUCCCCAUGUCUUCCAACGACAUUUCCACGUUGUUGAUAGUUCAAAAGCUCAACAAGAAUGAUGGCCAGGAGUUGACGUUGCAGCCCGCGUACAUGCUAAUCGCAGAGGAGGGGUGGUUCGAUCAACAACAGCUGUCCAAGGAGAUAGCAGGGCAGGAGGAAUCCGAAAUACCCAAGGUGCAGGUUCCCGUAGUUCUGCAGUGGGAGGUCAUGCAAGGCUUACCACGACUAGCUAACAUGAAGGUGCAUCCGGGCUGUCCAGUAGAGGUAGUCCGCAAGCUCUGCAAGAGCAAGAACAGCUAUUGCAAACGUGGGAGCAGAGGCUAUUUAUGCCAGUGCAUGGAUGGCUACGACAAGCCUGGCAACAACCCCUACCUCGCCGACGGAUGCAAAGGUGGCCGCAAGCCCUUAUCUACAGGUAUAUACCUCGUCAGCAUAGGAGUUGCUGUUGGGGCAUGCAUCGUACUAUUUCUUCUUGCUGGAUCCUUCACACAUAAGAAGUUCAAACAUCGAAGAGCGCAGAUGUUGAAACAGAAGUUCUUCGAAAAAAACCGUGGACAAUUGUUGCAACAAUUGGUAUCACAAAGAGCUGAUAUUGCAGAAAGAAUGAUUAUAACCUUAGAUGAGCUUGAGAAGGCAACAAACAGAUUUGAUAAAGCUCGCGAGCUUGGUGGUGGUGGGCAUGGCACAGUCUACAAAGGGAUCCUAUCAGAUCUUCAUCUUGUAGCCAUCAAGAAACCAAAGGCGGUGAUUCAAAAGGAGAUUGAUGAAUUCAUUAAUGAGGUUGCUAUCCUAUCACAGAUCAACCAUAGAAAUGUCGUAAAACUCUAUGGUUGUUGCCUUGAAACAGAGGUCCCCAUAUUGGUCUACGAGUUUAUAUCCAACGGCACCCUUUAUGAUCAUCUUCAUAUUGAUGGACCAAGAUCAUUGUCAUGGAAUGAUAGGCUACGGAUAGCAGUUGAGACUGCUAGAUCUUUAGCCUAUCUUCACUCAACAACUUCAGUACCCAUCAUCCAUAGAGAUAUCAAGUCUGCUAAUAUACUUUUGGAUGAUACUCUAACAGCAAAGGUCGCAGACUUCGGAGCUUCACGGUAUGUUCUGUUGGAUAGAUCAGGGAUCACAACAAGAGUGCAAGGUACAAGAGGAUAUCUGGACCCUGGGUAUUUCUACACCGGGCGUCUCACAGAAAAAAGUGAUGUGUACAGCUUUGGUGUCUUGCUUCUGGAGUUGUUGACUAGAAAGAAACCAUUUUCAUUCAUCUCUUCGGAAGAUGAAGGCCUCGUUACACAUUUUACUACCUUAUUCACACAAGGCAAAUUAUCAGAGAUACUAGAUCUGCAAGUUAUGGAAGAGGGAGGCAGUGAAAUGGAAGAAGUCGCGGCGCUUGCAGCCAUGUGUAUAACAUUAAGAGGAGAGGAUCGUCCGUCCAUGAAGCAAGUGGAGAUCAAGCUCGAAGGCACUCAAGCAUCUAGGGAACAUGAGGGGGGUAAUGUAAGAAAUUGUCCAGCGACUGCAGAUGGAAGUGGGACCGAGGAGUUAUCCAGACAGUAUAGUAUGGAAGAGGAGUUCAUGUUAUCUUCAAGGUAUCCUCGGUAG
RNAcentral lists this ribosomal RNA (3135 nucleotides) under Triticum aestivum (bread wheat). RNAcentral describes it as "partial small subunit ribosomal RNA". Lineage: Eukaryota; Viridiplantae; Streptophyta; Magnoliopsida; Poales; Poaceae. The record is from RNAcentral.